This 730-nucleotide long non-coding RNA is filed under the name Salvia miltiorrhiza (redroot sage). Its description in RNAcentral is "long non-coding RNA (SMIL_LNC003127)". The record is from RNAcentral. Lineage: Eukaryota; Viridiplantae; Streptophyta; Magnoliopsida; Lamiales; Lamiaceae.
GAAUAAUGAGUUGUUUAUUUCCCUCAAAAAAAAUGUUUAUUAUCUUUCCUCGAUAGCCCUCCCUUGUCUUUACUGUUAGACUAGUGCGAGAGAAAAGAUUCUGUGCAUAGCUUUACUAAGAGAGAGAGAGAGAGCGAGCGAGUAGAGGAGGAGAUCAAUGGCGGAAUUCCAACAGAAAGCUUUUGGUUUAGCGGCGACAGAUAGCUCCGGCGUUCUCUCUCCCUUCCAUUUCUCUCGCAGGUAUGUAUGUUAAAACAUGGAAUUAUCAUAAUGCAUAGAGAAAGAGAAGCUAAAGAUUGUAAUUGUAUUUCUUGUUGUUGUAUUGCUUAUGUUUUCUGAAGAAUUCUAUCAUCCUUUAUAAUGUAUUACAUGAUAUUAAAGUCAUACCAGGAUCCCUUUGAUUAAGGGAUCCGUGGUAAAUCUUUGACAGAUAAAUAAAGGCACGCUUCUCCUCUUUCUGACUUUUGCUGCUUGCUAAUCUUGACUUCUGUAGAAUGCAAAUCUUGACUUCUGUAGUGUUACUUUCAACACUCCCCCUCAAGUUGAGUAACGGGAUUCCCGAUAUUCAACUUGCCAAGAACUUCUGAAAAACUCUUGGAGUUCAUAAUUCUGAGCGCAGCUUCCAUGUGGUCGGCUUGUGGUUGGUGCAAGAAUUGACUCACAACCCCAACAGCAUAUGCAAUAUCCGGUCGAUAAAUGCAUGAAAAUCAAAUGAUUCAUUUGAUUUUGA